This 1640-nucleotide ribosomal RNA is filed under the name human gut metagenome. RNAcentral describes it as "bacterial LSU rRNA". It matches the Rfam family "Bacterial large subunit ribosomal RNA", at positions 824 to 2447 of the family's 2925-position model. The record is from RNAcentral.
AAAGGCCAAUCAAACCGGGAGAUAGCUGGUUCUCCCCGAAAUCUAUUUAGGUAGAGCCUUGAGCGGACACCUUCGGGGGUAGAGCACUGUUUCGGCUAGGGGUCCAUCCCGGAUUACCAACCCGAUGCAAACUACGAAUACCGAAGAGUGAUACUCAGGAGACACACGGCGGGUGCUAACGUCCGUCGUGGAGAGGGAAACAACCCAGACCGCCAGCUAAGGUCCCAAAGUCUAUAUUAAGUGGGAAACGAAGUGGGAAGGCUUAGACAGCUAGGAUGUUGGCUUAGAAGCAGCCAUCAUUUAAAGAAAGCGUAAUAGCUCACUAGUCGAGUCGGCCUGCGCGGAAGAUGUAACGGGGCUCAAAUAUAGCACCGAAGCUGCGGCAUCAGUAGCAAUACUGUUGGGUAGGGGAGCGUUCUGUAAGCGGAUGAAGGUGGCUCGAGAGGGCUGCUGGACGUAUCAGAAGUGCGAAUGCUGACAUAAGUAACGAUAAAACGGGUGAAAAACCCGUUCGCCGGAAGACCAAGGGUUCCUGUCCAACGUUAAUCGGGGCAGGGUGAGUCGGCCCCUAAGGCGAGGCUGAAAAGCGUAGUCGAUGGGAAACGGGUUAAUAUUCCCGUACUUGGAUAAACUGCGAUGUGGGGACGGAGCAGGUUAGGUUAUCGCACUGUUGGAUAUGUGCGUUUAAGUUGGUAGGUGAGAAGUUUAGGCAAAUCCGGACUUCUUUAACACCGAGAGAUGAUGACGAGGCUCUACGGAGCUGAAGUAACCGAUACCACACUUCCAGGAAAAGCCACUAAGCUUCAGGUUUAUCUAAACCGUACUGAAAACCGACACAGGUGGUCAGGUAGAGAAUACUCAGGCGCUUGAGAGAACUCGGGUGAAGGAACUAGGCAAAAUAGCACCGUAACUUCGGGAGAAGGUGCGCCGGCGUAGAUUGUAGUCCCUUGCGGGCGAAGGUUGAACCGGUCGAAGAUACCAGCUGGCUGCAACUGUUUAUUAAAAACACAGCACUCUGCAAACACGAAAGUGGACGUAUAGGGUGUGAUGCCUGCCCGGUGCUGGAAGGUUAAUUGAUGGUGUAAUCGAAAGAGAAGCUCCUGAUCGAAGCCCCAGUAAACGGCGGCCGUAACUAUAACGGUCCUAAGGUAGCGAAAUUCCUUGUCGGGUAAGUUCCGACCUGCACGAAUGGCAUAAUGAUGGCCAGGCUGUCUCCACCCGAGACUCAGUGAAAUUGAAAUCGCCGUGAAGAUGCGGUGUACCCGCGGCUAGACGGAAAGACCCCGUGAACCUUUACUAUAGCUUGACACUGAACAUUGAAUUUUGAUGUGUAGGAUAGGUGGGAGACUUUGAAGUAGUCACGCCAGUGAUUAUGGAGUCGACCUUGAAAUACCACCCUUUAACGUUUGAUGUUCUAACGAAGAUUACGAAACGUGGUCUCGGACAGUGUCUGGUGGGUAGUUUGACUGGGGCGGUCUCCUCCCAAAGAGUAACGGAGGAGCACGAAGGUUUGCUAAUGACGGUCGGACAUCGUCAGGUUAGUGCAAUGGUAUAAGCAAGCUUAACUGCGAGACAGACAAGUCGAGCAGGUACGAAAGUAGGUCAUAGUGAUCCGGUGGUUCUGAAUGGAAGGGCCAUCG